GAUGAACGCUAGCUACAGGCUUAACACAUGCAAGUCGAGGGGAAACGACAUCGAAAGCUUGCUUUUGAUGGGCGUCGACCGGCGCACGGGUGAGUGACGCGUAUCCAACCUGCCCACCACUUGGGGAUAACCUUGCGAAAGUAAGACUAAUACCCAAUGAUAUCUCUAGAAGACAUCUGAAGGAGAUUAAAGAUUUAUCGGUGAUGGAUGGGGAUGCGUCUGAUUAGCUUGUUGGCGGGGUAACGGCCCACCAAGGCGACGAUCAGUAGGGGUUCAGGGAGGAAGGUCCGCCACAUUGGAACUGAGACACGGUGCAGACUCCUACGGGAGGCAGCAGUGGGGAAUUUUGGACAAUGGACGCAAGUCUGAUCCAGCCAUUCCGCGUGCAGGAUGAAGGCCCUCGGGUUGUAAACUGCUUUUGUACGGAACGAAAAGGUCUCUCUUAAUACGGGGGACUCAUGACGGUACCGUAAGAAUAAGCACCGGCUAACUACGUGCCAGCCGCCGCGGUAA
Molecule: ribosomal RNA, 513 nt
Filed under: uncultured bacterium
Lineage: Bacteria
Description: partial 16S ribosomal RNA
Rfam family: Bacterial small subunit ribosomal RNA
Source: RNAcentral